GAAAUAUUUUAACUACAACAAAACUAGACCAAGAUGAUCUCCCAGAAAAUGAGCAUCACACUGUGAAUUCUAUUUAUCUACAUAUAUGUACAUAUAUGUAUGUGUGUGUGUGUGUGUGUAUAUAUAUAUAUAUAUAUAUACACACACAUAUGUGUGUCCCAGUCGGUUUUCUAUUUAAUUCUUGCUGUAUUCUUCUUCCAAAAGAUACAAGAACAUUUGGCUCUAUGACUUUUCUUUCUUAACAAUUACGCACAGUUCAGUGCUAAAGACAGUGUCCUGAAUUUUCUCUUUGCUUCUGUAGGGACUGAUGCAGAGCUGCAACCAGAUGCAUGCUUCCUACCUCUUUCAGCAAGAUAAGCACUAUGACCUGUCCUAUGACACGGGAGACAAGGCCUUGCAGUGUGGACGCCACGUCGAUGUCUUUAAAUUAUGGCUCAUGUGGAGAGCAAAGGGGACUACUGGAUUUGAAGCUCACAUUGAUAAGUGUUUGGAGCUGGCAGAGUAUUUAUACAAUAUCAUUAAAAACCGAGAAGGAUAUGAAAUGGUGUUCGAUGGGAAGCCUCAGCACACAA
This 572-nucleotide long non-coding RNA is filed under the name Rattus norvegicus (Norway rat). Its description in RNAcentral is "long non-coding RNA NONRATT012675". Lineage: Eukaryota; Metazoa; Chordata; Mammalia; Rodentia; Muridae. The record is from RNAcentral.